RNAcentral lists this ribosomal RNA (497 nucleotides) under uncultured bacterium. RNAcentral describes it as "partial 16S ribosomal RNA". It matches the Rfam family "Bacterial small subunit ribosomal RNA", at positions 28 to 507 of the family's 1533-position model. The record is from RNAcentral.
GAUGAACGCUGGCGGCGUGCCUAAUACAUGCAAGUAGAACGCUCAGUCUUUGUGCUUGCUCCCAGCGGCUGAGUUUCGAACUUGUGAGUAGCGCGUAGGUAACUUGCUUGGUAGCGGGGGAUAACUAUUGGAAACUAUAGCUAAUACCGUAUUACAGUAUAUUUUUCAUUAUAUCUGCUUGAAAGGUUCAAAUGCAUCACUACCACAUGGACCUGCGUUGUAUUAGUUAGUUGGUGAGGUAACGGCUCACCAAGGCGACGAUACAUAGCCGACUUGAGAGGGUGAUCGGCCACACUGGGACUGAGACACGGCCCAGACUCCUACGGGAGGCAGCAGUAGGGAAUCUUCGGCAAUGGGGGGAACGCUGACCGAGCAACGCCGCGUGAGUGAAGAAGGUUUUCGGAUCGUAAAGCUCGGUUGUAAGAGAAGAACGAGUGUGAGAGUGGAAAGUUCACACUGUGACGGUAUCUUACCAGAAAGGGACGGCUAACUACGUG